AAUCACUGCGCAAUAGGCCCAACGAAAUUGGCUACAUAUUAUGUUUAGAUCAUAUGUUUUUCGCUUUGAAAAAACUCACUUCGAGCCGGCUUAAAACAUGAAGGAUAAUCCAUUUAUCGAAAACCCUAUAUACAGGCACUACAAAUAACCUUCACUGGCAGUAAAAACAAUUCGAUUUUAGAUAUGAGUCUAUCAGCAAUGGAUGAUGUAGGCGUAAAAUGUACUUCGUGAAAAUAAUAAUUGAAGUUUAAUUCAAACAAUUUAUGAGAGAUUAUUGUAAUCAUAUAACUGAUGCGUAAGUGUUGUCUUACCUGUCC
Long non-coding RNA from Bactrocera tryoni, 317 nucleotides. RefSeq lists it as uncharacterized. NCBI's taxonomy places the organism in Eukaryota, Metazoa, Arthropoda, Insecta, Diptera, Tephritidae. The record is from RefSeq and is a predicted model, not a curated record. The transcript has 3 exons.